GACGAACGCUGGCGGCGUGCUUAACACAUGCCAGUCGAACGGUGAAGCGCCUUCCUUUUUGGUGGGUGUGGAUGAGUGGCGAACGGGUGAGUAACACGUGAGUAACCUGCCCCCUUCUUCUGGAUAACCGCAUGAAAGUGUGGCUAAUACGGGAUAUUCUGGGUCUGUCGCAUGAUGGGUCUGGGAAAGAUAUUGUUUCGGUGGGGGAUGGGCUCGCGGCCUAUCAGCUUGUUGGUGGGGUGAUGGCCUACCAAGACGGUGACGGGUAGCCGGCCUGAGAGGGUGGACGGUCACACUGGGACUGAGACACGGCCCAGACUCCUACGGGAGGCAGCAGUGGGGAAUAUUGCACAAUGGGCGCAAGCCUGAUGCAGCGACGCCGCGUGAGGGAUGGAGGCCUUCGGGUUGUGAACCUCUUUCGCCAGUGAAGCAGGCCUGCCUCGUUUGUGGGUGGGUUGACGGUAGCUGGAGAAGAAGCGCCGGCUAACUACGUG
Molecule: ribosomal RNA, 494 nt
Filed under: uncultured bacterium
Lineage: Bacteria
Description: partial 16S ribosomal RNA
Rfam family: Bacterial small subunit ribosomal RNA
Source: RNAcentral